Molecule: ribosomal RNA, 492 nt
Filed under: uncultured bacterium
Lineage: Bacteria
Description: bacterial SSU rRNA
Rfam family: Bacterial small subunit ribosomal RNA
Source: RNAcentral
UAGUCCACGCCGUAAACGAUGGAUACUAGCUGUUCGUCUAACAUUGGCUAGAUGAGUGGCUAAGCGAAAGUGAUGAGUAUCCCACCUGGGGAGUACGGUCGCAAGACUGAAACUCAAAGGAAUUGACGGGGGCCCGCACAAGCGGUGGAGCAUGUGGUUUAAUUCGAUGAUACGCGAGGAACCUUACCAGGGCUUAAAUGUAGUGGGACAGGUCUAGAGAUAGACCCUUCUUCGGACUCAUUACAAGGUGCUGCAUGGUUGUCGUCAGCUCGUGCCGUGAGGUGUCAGGUUAAGUCCUAUAACGAGCGCAACCCCUAUCGUUAGUUGCCAGCGAGUAAUGUCGGGAACUCUAACGAAACUGCCAGUGCAAACUGUGAGGAAGGUGGGGGAUGACGUCAAAUCAUCACGGCCCUUACGUCCUGGGGCUACACACGUGCUACAAUGGUAGAGACAGAGGGGCAGCCACCUGGGUGACAGGGGAGCGGAAUCCUU